CCUACGGGAGGCAGCAGUGGGGAAUUUUGGACAAUGGGCGCAAGCCUGAUCCAGCAAUGCCGCGUGAGUGAAGAAGGCCUUCGGGUUGUAAAGCUCUUUUGUCAGGGAAGAAACGGUCUACUCUAAUACAGUGGGCUAAUGACGGUACCUGAAGAAUAAGCACCGGCUAACUACGUGCCAGCAGCCGCGGUAAUACGUAGGGUGCAAGCGUUAAUCGGAAUUACUGGGCGUAAAGCGUGCGCAGGCGGUUAUAUAAGUCAGAUGUGAAAUCCCCGGGCUCAACCUGGGAACUGCAUUUGAGACUGUAUGGCUAGAGUGUGUCAGAGGGGGGUAGAAUUCCACGUGUAGCAGUGAAAUGCGUAGAUAUGUGGAGGAAUACCGAUGGCGAAGGCAGCCCCCUGGGAUAACACUGACGCUCAUGCACGAAAGCGUGGGGAGCAAACAGGAUUAGAUACCCUGGUAGUCCACGCCCUAAACGAUGUCUACUAGUUGUCGGGACUUAAUUGUCUUGGUAACGCAGCUAACGCGUGAAGUAGACCGCCUGGGGAGUACGGUCGCAAGAUUAAAACUCAAAUGAAAUUGACGGNUGAGACGAGCGAGGACGACACGAGGGAGGAGG
Molecule: ribosomal RNA, 619 nt
Filed under: uncultured bacterium
Lineage: Bacteria
Description: bacterial SSU rRNA
Rfam family: Bacterial small subunit ribosomal RNA
Source: RNAcentral